UACGGGGGGAGCAAGCGUUGUUCGGAUUUACUGGGGGUAAAGGGCGCGUAGGCGGUCAGCACAAGUCAGUUGUGAAAUCUCCGGGCUUAACUCGGAAAGGUCAACUGAUACUGUGCGACUAGAGUGCAGAAGGGGCAACUGGAAUUCUCGGUGUAGCGGUGAAAUGCGUAGAUAUCGAGAGGAACACCUGCGGCGAAGGCGGGUUGCUGGGCUGACACUGACGCUGAUGCGCGAAAGCCAGGGGAGCGAACGGG
This 254-nucleotide ribosomal RNA is filed under the name uncultured bacterium. Its description in RNAcentral is "partial 16S ribosomal RNA". It matches the Rfam family "Bacterial small subunit ribosomal RNA", at positions 524 to 776 of the family's 1533-position model. The record is from RNAcentral.